This 288-nucleotide ribosomal RNA is filed under the name uncultured bacterium. RNAcentral describes it as "partial 16S ribosomal RNA". It matches the Rfam family "Bacterial small subunit ribosomal RNA", at positions 773 to 1060 of the family's 1533-position model. The record is from RNAcentral.
GUGGAUUAGAUACCCUGGUAGUCCACGCCGUAAACGUUGGGAACUAGGUGUUGGCGACAUUCCACGUCGUCGGUGCCGCAGCUAACGCAUUAAGUUCCCCGCCUGGGGAGUACGGCCGCAAGGCUAAAACUCAAAGGAAUUGACGGGGGCCCGCACAAGCAGCGGAGCAUGUGGCUUAAUUCGACGCAACGCGAAGAACCUUACCAAGGCUUGACAUAUACCGGAAACGGCUAGAGAUAGUCGCCCCCUUGUGGUCGGUAUACAGGUGGUGCACGGCCGUCGCCAGCU